CCGCAUAAGUUCGAGAGAAGAAAGGCGCAAGUCGCCGGGAGAGGAGUCCGCGGUCGAUUAGGUAGUUGGCGGGGUAAAAGCCCACCAAGCCAAAGAUCGAUAGCCGGCCUGAGAGGGCACACGGCCACACCGGCACUGAAACACGGGCCAGACUCCUACGGGAGGCAGCAGUGGGGAAUCUUGCACAAUGGGGGAAACCCCGAUGCAGCGACGCCGCGUGAGCGAUGAAGCCCUUCGGGGUGUAAAGCUUUUUCGGCAGGAACGAUAAUGACGGUACCUGCAGAAGAAGCUGCGGCUAACUACGUGCCAGCAGCCGCGGUAAUACGUAGGCAGCGAGCGUUGUUCGGAAUUACUGGGCGUAAAGAGUGUGUAGGUGGUGUCGUAAGUUUGGUGUGAAAUCUCCCGGCUCAACUGGGAGGGUGCGCCGAAGACUGCGAUGCUGGAGUAUGGGAGAGGAAAGCGGAAUUCCUGGUGUAGCGGUGAAAUGCGUAGAUAUCAGGAGGAACACCUGCGGUGUAGACGGCUUUCUGGACCAUUACUGACACUGAGACACGAAAGCGUGGGUAGCAAACAGGAUUAGAUACCCUGGUAGUCCACGCCGUAAACGAUGAGUGCUAGACGUCGGGGAGCUUGCUUUUCGGUGUCGCAGCUAACGCAUUAAGCACUCCGCCUGGGGAGUACGGCCGCAAGGUUAAAACUCAAAGGAAUUGACGGGGGCCCGCACAAGCGGUGGAGCAUGUGGUUUAAUUCGAUGCAACGCGAAGAACCUUACCAGCUCUUGACAUAUUGGGUUUUGGAUUCGAGAGAUCGACUCCUUCAGUUCGGCUGGGCCCAGUACAGGUGCUGCAUGGCUGUCGUCAGCUCGUGUCGUGAGAUGUUGGGUUAAGUCCCGCAACGAGCGCAACCCUCAUCUUCAGUUGCCAUCAGGUCAAGCUGGGCACUCUGAAGAAACUGCCGGUGACAAGCCGGAGGAAGGUGGGGAUGACGUCAAGUCCUCAUGGCCCUUACGGGCUGGGCUACACACGUGCUACAAUGAUGGUGGCAGUGGGAUGCGAUGGCGCGAGCCGGAGCGAAUCUCAAAAAGCCGUCUCAGUUCGGAUUGCACUCUGCAACACGGGUGCAUGAAGUUGGAAUCGCUAGUAAUCGUGGAUCAGCAUGCCACGGUGAAUACGUUCCCGGGCCUUGUACACACCGCCCGUCACACCAUGGGAGUUGGUUUUACCUUAAGACGGUGCGCUAACCGCAAGGAGGCAGCCGGCCACGGUAAGGUCAGCGACUGGGGUGAAGUCGUAACAAGGUA
RNAcentral lists this ribosomal RNA (1300 nucleotides) under metagenome. Its description in RNAcentral is "bacterial SSU rRNA". It matches the Rfam family "Bacterial small subunit ribosomal RNA", at positions 169 to 1498 of the family's 1533-position model. The record is from RNAcentral.